UACCUGCAGCUCAAGUGGUGGCCGCUAUUAUUGGGCCUAAAACGUCCGUAGCCGGUUCUAUAAAUGCCUGGGUAAAUCGUACGGCUUAACCGUACGAAUUCCGGGUAGACUGUUCAACUUGGGACCGGGAGAGGCUAGAGGUACUCCUGGGGUAGAGGUGAAAUUCUGUAAUCCUAGGGGGACCACCAGUGGCGAAGGCGUCUAGCUAGAACGGGUCUGACGGUGAGGGACGAAGCCCUGGGGAGCAAACGGG
RNAcentral lists this ribosomal RNA (253 nucleotides) under uncultured bacterium. RNAcentral's name for it is "partial 16S ribosomal RNA". It matches the Rfam family "Archaeal small subunit ribosomal RNA", at positions 474 to 727 of the family's 1478-position model. RNAcentral also lists the same sequence under 1 other name. The record is from RNAcentral.